RNAcentral lists this ribosomal RNA (476 nucleotides) under uncultured bacterium. Its description in RNAcentral is "partial 16S ribosomal RNA". It matches the Rfam family "Bacterial small subunit ribosomal RNA", at positions 28 to 501 of the family's 1533-position model. The record is from RNAcentral.
GACGAACGCUGGCGGCGUGCUUAACACAUGCAAGUCGAGCGAUGAAGCACCUUCGGGUGUGAAUUAGCGGCGAACGGGUGAGGAACACGUGAAGAAUCUGCCUUCAACUCUGGGAUAACUCCGGGAAACCGGGGCUAAUACCGGAUAUGAGCCUUGAUCGCAUGACCGGGGCUGGAAAGUUUUUCGGUUGAAGAUGACUUCGAGGCCUAUCAGCUUGUUGGUGGGGUGAUGGCCAACCAAGGCGACGACGGGUAGCCGGCCUGAGAGGGCGACCGGCCACACUGGGACUGAGACACGGCCCAGACUCCUACGGGAGGCAGCAGUGGGGAAUAUUGGGCAAUGGAGGAAACUCUGACCCAGCGACGCCGCGUGAGGGAUGAAGGCCUUCGGGUUGUAAACCUCUUUUGUCAGGGAAGAAACACCGGCUCUAACACAGUCCGGGAAUGACGGUACCUGAAGAAUAAGCACCGGCUAAC